This 480-nucleotide ribosomal RNA is filed under the name Arthrobacter sp. TF1. Its description in RNAcentral is "bacterial SSU rRNA". It matches the Rfam family "Bacterial small subunit ribosomal RNA", at positions 920 to 1398 of the family's 1533-position model. The record is from RNAcentral. Lineage: Bacteria; Bacillati; Actinomycetota; Actinomycetes; Micrococcales; Micrococcaceae.
CCCGGCAAACGGGCGGGACAUGCGGAUUAUUCGAUGCAACGCGAAGAACCUUACCAAGGCUUGACAUGGACCGGACCGCCGCAGAAAUGUGGUUUCCCCUUUGGGGCUGGUUUACAGGUGGUGCAUGGUUGUCGUCAGCUCGUGUCGUGAGAUGUUGGGUUAAGUCCCGCAACGAGCGCAACCCUCGUUCUAUGUUGCCAGCACGUGAUGGUGGGGACUCAUAGGAGACUGCCGGGGUCAACUCGGAGGAAGGUGGGGACGACGUCAAAUCAUCAUGCCCCUUAUGUCUUGGGCUUCACGCAUGCUACAAUGGCCGGUACAAAGGGUUGCGAUACUGUGAGGUGGAGCUAAUCCCAAAAAGCCGGUCUCAGUUCGGAUUGGGGUCUGCAACUCGACCCCAUGAAGUCGGAGUCGCUAGUAAUCGCAGAUCAGCAACGCUGCGGUGAAUACGUUCCCGGGCCUUGUACACACCCGCCCGUA